AAGUGGAGCAAUCCAUGAGUAAAGUGGCGACCGGGUGAGUAACACGUGACUAACCUACCCUAGAGUGGGGAAUAACCUCGGGAAACCAGGGCUAAUACCGCAUAACAUCACCGGGUGAAACUCCCGAUGAUCAAAGGGGUAAGACGCUUGAAGAGGGGGUCGCGGCUGAUUAGUUAGUUGGCGGGGUAAUGGCCCACCAAGACGAUGAUCAGUAUCCGGCCUGAGAGGGCGGACGGACACACUGGGACUGAGACACGGCCCAGACUCCUACGGGAGGCAGCAGUGGGGAAUUGUUCGCAAUGGGCGCAAGCCUGACGACGCAACGCCGCGUGGAGGAUGAAGACCUUCGGGUCGUAAACUCCUUUCGAUCGAGACGAAUGUUUUCCGGGUGAACAAUCCGGGAAAGUGACGGUACCGAGAGAAGAAGCCCCGGCUAACUCUGUGCCAGCAGCCGCGGUAAUACAGGGGGGGCAAGCGUUGUUCGGAAUUACUGGGCGUAAAGGGCGCGUAGGCGGCCAUCUAAGUCAGACGUGAAAUCCCUCGGCUCAACCGAGGAACUGCGUCUGAUACUGGAAGGCUUGAAUCCGGGAGAGGGAUGUGGAAUUCCAGGUGUAGCGGUGAAAUGCGUAGAUAUCUGGAGGAACACCGGUGGCGAAGGCGGCAUCCUGGACCGGUAUUGACGCUGAGGCGCGAAAGCUAGGGGAGCAAACGGGAUUAGAUACCCCGGUAGUCCUAGCCCUAAACGAUGA
RNAcentral lists this ribosomal RNA (749 nucleotides) under uncultured bacterium. Its description in RNAcentral is "bacterial SSU rRNA". It matches the Rfam family "Bacterial small subunit ribosomal RNA", at positions 72 to 812 of the family's 1533-position model. The record is from RNAcentral.